GACGAACGCUGGCGGCGUGCCUAAUACAUGCAAGUAGAACGCUGAAGAGAGGAGCUUGCUCUUCUUGGAUGAGUUGCGAACGGGUGAGUAACGCGUAGGUAACCUGCCUUGUAGCGGGGGAUAACUAUUGGAAACGAUAGCUAAUACCGCAUAACAAUGGAUGACACAUGUCAUUUAUUUGAAAGGGGCAAUUGCUCCACUACAAGAUGGACCUGCGUUGUAUUAGCUAGUAGGUGAGGUAACGGCUCACCUAGGCGACGAUACAUAGCCGACCUGAGAGGGUGAUCGGCCGCACUGGGACUGAGACACGGCCCAGACUCCUACGGGAGGCAGCAGUAGGGAAUCUUCGGCAAUGGGGGCAACCCUGACCGAGCAACGCCGCGUGAGGGAAGAAGGUUUUCGGAUCGUAAAGCUCUGUUGUAAGUCAAGAACGAGUGUGAGAGUGGAAAGUUCACACUGUGACGGUAGCUUACCAGAAAGGGACGGCUAACUACGUG
Molecule: ribosomal RNA, 497 nt
Filed under: uncultured bacterium
Lineage: Bacteria
Description: partial 16S ribosomal RNA
Rfam family: Bacterial small subunit ribosomal RNA
Source: RNAcentral